UGGAAACGAGGCGGGCUUCCCAUAUGUCACUUCUAAGUAGGAUAUUGGAGGAAUGAAGAGGUCUAAAUGACACGUUAAGGUCCAAGCUCACCCGUGAAUCAGAACUUACCGGAGGCCACGGAGGCUGUUACCGCGAGGAAACUCUAGUCCUGGCGGAAGACCAACUUCUAGCAGAUCCCCUUACCCUGGCUCUAGUCCACUAGCUCCUUCCUAGUC
Molecule: long non-coding RNA, 216 nt
Filed under: Homo sapiens (human)
Lineage: Eukaryota; Metazoa; Chordata; Mammalia; Primates; Hominidae
Description: HSALNT0220045
Source: RNAcentral